Long non-coding RNA from Salvelinus namaycush (lake trout), 705 nucleotides. RefSeq lists it as uncharacterized. The record is from RefSeq and is a predicted model, not a curated record. NCBI's taxonomy places the organism in Eukaryota, Metazoa, Chordata, Actinopteri, Salmoniformes, Salmonidae. The transcript has 4 exons.
AAAUAAUCAAAGGAAAAUGGCGACCGGGUAGGUCUGGUUGCUAUUGCAACCUUGUCAAAAGGUUGUUACCGUCAAUUUCCUCCUAUUUAAUUCCAGAAAUGGUCAGCAGGCCACAGUCAAGUAAGGCCGUGCUGAUGAUGUCUCUGAUCUGGAAGUAUUAUGCUGACCCAGUGACGGUUCUGCCCAGUAAGUGGCUUUUCUCCUCUAGAGCGAAUGGUGGCCUUCCCAUCUGGAGUAGCAGAUGGUGUUGGAAUCCCAUGGCGGCUCGUUGUUUGUAACAAGGUAGUGGCUAUAAUGAUCCAAGCAGUGGCUUGACAGCCUGAACUUUACUGUCUACGCUGUGAGACCAAAUUAUGCAAUUGUAUACUCUGGGCCUUGAUAUUUUGUUCAUUUUUUUGUUGAAUGUUUUUGAGAAACUGCACUGUUACAUUUUGAUAAAUCAUCAGGAUUGUUUUGUAGCAUUUUCUUUCUUUACCAAUCCAUUCCUUGUCAUGAAACUACAUCAGACUUCUCAAAGAUGUCUUAUGAACUAAGUCUGGCUUAAUAAUGGUUACAAUUUGUUCCUUUUCUAAAUUAUUCAAGCCAUUUCACUCUUUUACCUACAUGCAACAGUGUUCUGCUGUGCAUCUUUGUUUGUCGGUUGCCUACUUUAUAACCCUCUUCCAGAAUUAUUAUUAUUUUGACAUAUCAAUAAAAACCUGCAAA